This 68-nucleotide transfer RNA is filed under the name Naria helvola. Its description in RNAcentral is "tRNA-His". It matches the Rfam family "tRNA". From Rfam's summary of the family: Transfer RNA (tRNA) molecules are approximately 80 nucleotides in length. The record is from RNAcentral. Lineage: Eukaryota; Metazoa; Mollusca; Gastropoda; Littorinimorpha; Cypraeidae.
GUCAAGUUAGUUUAAAUAAAAACAUCAGCCUGUGGAUUUGAAAAUGAAAUCUGAUUUUCACUUGACCC